CACAGCAAUACACUCACCAUCACUCCUAGGAUCACCACCACACAGAAAAAAUACACCACAACUCAUCAUCUCCUCCACAUAUACACAUACUAACAACACACACCAUUACAACAUACACACACCGACUGAAAUGGGUACACACAACAAAAUCCGGUGAGGCAGAAAAUAGGGGAUUUUGGGGGGAGGGAAGACAAUUACUCACAUACACAGAUAUCACUCUUCCAUUUUUUCAAUUGAAUUCAUGAAAAAUACACACAUCGUCACUCCCCAGCUCAGGGAGCUCUCAUCCUUCCACCUAAACAGUAUAUACACAUGCACACAACUAGGAAAAAGGGCGAGCAUCGGAGUGAGAAAGAUCGGAGAGAGAUAGUGAGAAUCGAGAGAGAGAGGAAGGAAAAUCGAUGCUUAUUGACUGUUUCCAAUGAGAAACUCGCCAGAAACCCGCCAUAUUAGCUGCCCAAAAACACCCUAGUCGCAGUCUUGCUGCUGUUACGGCAAAAUUCACCGGAUUUUAAUUUGGUGAAUCAACACUUCUCGCUCAAAAGAGAGAAAAGCCUGUUACAUAACUGAACUGGAGAGAAAAGUUAAGACACUAUCUAUAUAAAAAGGUUUGACGAUUAAAUUUGACCAUCAUUCACCAACAUCCUCAUCUAAUUUGGAGUCUGCUUGGGAGAUCAUUAUGGGUAGGGUAUGAUAGUGGCUUAGUAAAGUAAUUUUCCUAUUGAGACAAAUAAGCAUAAACUUAACUGCCAAUUCGUAAAGUAAUAUUCUAGUACAUAUUACUGUGGACAGAUUGAGAAGUUGGGGGAGAAGUACGGAUCCUAAAUGUGUGAUGAGAAGUUAGGGGAUAAGUAUGGAUUUUAAAUAUGUGAUGUGUCAAGAAACUGAUGAAACAGGGAACAUUUCUUUGUCUCUGUCCUUUUAUUGACUACCCCUGGAACCAAAUUUUGAUCAGAUUAUAAAGAACUCCAAUGAUAUUUACUAAUUGGGAACAGUACCUAAGAUGGACAAUAGCAAAUGCUAAGGGAAAAUCACGACAGGCUGCUAUAUUCAAAAUGGUCUUUGCAGAAGUAUCCUAUGCGAUAUGGAUUUAGUGAUGAAAAUAAACAAAUACAAGCAUACAAGCAUAGUUCAUCAAUGUCAAUAACAUAAAUUUUGGGCGAUUUGCUGCACAGUGGCAAGGCCAAAUUGUUGGAUUGGCCGUUGAGGUUCAAGAUAGCUUUAGAUGCAACUGAGGGACUUUCGUAUUUGCACCAUGAUUGUGUUCCUCAAAUAGUUCACCGUGAUUGUCAACUAACAUAUUGCAGGAUGAUGAAUUUGGAGCCAAAAUUUCAGAUUUUGGUGUGGCAAAAGUUGUUAAAGCAACCAUCAAAGGUGGUAUCGUAUCCAUGCCUGUUAUCGCUGGUUCUUAUGGUUACAUUGCACCAGAGCAUGCAUAUACACUUCAUGUGAAUGAAAAAAGUGAUAUAUAUAGCUUUGGAGUGGUCAUUUUGGAGCUGGUCACAGGCAAAAGACCAGUAGGUCCAGAACUCGGGGAGAAAGAUCUAGCUACUUGGGUACGCACAACCUUGAACGAGAAAGGAGUUGAUCAGUUGCUAUACCAAGAUCUAAAUUGCAGCAUCAAAGAACAUAUAUGCAAGGUUCUUGACUUUGGUAUACGCUUUCUUAACCAUUUUCGAGCUAAUCGCCUUUCAAUACUCAGAGUGGUGACAAUGGUCCAAGAAUUUGUUCCUUAUAAUGUACCAGAGAUGGAAAACAAGAAUGUUAAGAUGGUACUACUACUUCUCCUAUAUGAUUAUCACUUGGCUCUUUAGGGCUAGCAGUUUAAUUUCUCUGAUUAAUGUAACAGCUUCUAAAGGGGUGGAGUUUUUCUAUAAUUGUUGUAAGGAUUUCCUAAUCAACUUUCUUUUCUGAAGUACCGCUAAAACAAACCCCUUCUGUCUUUA
Long non-coding RNA from Capsicum annuum, 1946 nucleotides. RefSeq lists it as uncharacterized. Lineage: Eukaryota; Viridiplantae; Streptophyta; Magnoliopsida; Solanales; Solanaceae. The transcript has 4 exons. The record is from RefSeq and is a predicted model, not a curated record.